RNAcentral lists this long non-coding RNA (716 nucleotides) under Vulpes vulpes (red fox). RNAcentral describes it as "lncRNA (ENSVVUG00000001971.1)". The record is from RNAcentral. Lineage: Eukaryota; Metazoa; Chordata; Mammalia; Carnivora; Canidae.
CCCAUGUUCUUUCAUUGUACUUAGAAAUAAUCACAACAAAUCUUGAGAGGAAAAACAUAUCAUUCUAAUUUCUAUAAAUACAGGCACUGAAUCUUAAAAGUUCUGCAAAUUGCCUAAGAACACACCAUGAACUGUGGGAGCUAGGUUCCUUCUGAUGAUAAAUUCCAAAGCUGUCUACACCUACCAUGGUUAUGCACGUGGGCUCCAGAAUGAGCAGACUUUCCUUCACAUCCCAGCUCUGCCAUUUUCCAGGUAGGUAACCCUAGGGACAUCAUUUACCUCUGGAAAACGAAAUCUAAUUCUCAAAUUAACUUAAUAGUAAUUAUACCUCAUGGGAUUAUUAUUGGGAAUAAAAUGAAAUUCUUAGCCUAGAACUUGUAACAUAUUAAUCAAUAUAAAGUUAUCUCCUCUCAUCAUCUUCUUCUUCAUCAUCAGCAUCAUCUUCAACUGUACCAGUGGCAAUGGGUAAAUUAAUGAUCUGAGGAAGUCUGUGGAAGAAAAGCAAGUACCAGUUACCAAAAGCUAUGAAUGAGUUUUACCAAAAAUUGGUGCAGGACUAACCAUCACUGACACAAGUCUGGGAUCAUGGUGGGGAAACUGAGGCCUGGAAAGGUCAUCCAGCCUCAAGGGCCAGACUUAAGAUUUAAACCUGCAAUUUUAACCAGCAUGUUCCAUUGGCCUGGAAUUUAUCCUUCUCAGAUGCAGUCAUUCUUCAA